Molecule: non-coding RNA, 285 nt
Organism: Tinamus guttatus (white-throated tinamou)
Lineage: Eukaryota; Metazoa; Chordata; Aves; Tinamiformes; Tinamidae
Source: RefSeq, a predicted model, not a curated record
UGUUUUCUGUUUUUCCUGCUUCUGCGUAGGUGCUGGGAUGGCUGGAGGUGGUCACAUUUUGCAGCUAAUCUGAGGGACGUGUGAAGCAUCAUCUGUACCCCCUGACAUUUGAGAACUUAGAGGUAUGGAUCUUCGGCAUCUGUUGUUUACUUUGGCACUGGUCUGUGCAAAUGACACUCUCUCUACAAGUGAUGACACAUCUGCUUAUGCUGGUUAUGACCUGCUCCUGCAAACCAAAGCAGCCUGCCUAGUCUGCUCUGUCUUGUUGGGGCCUUUGGAGAGAAC